Molecule: ribosomal RNA, 490 nt
Filed under: uncultured bacterium
Lineage: Bacteria
Description: partial 16S ribosomal RNA
Rfam family: Bacterial small subunit ribosomal RNA
Source: RNAcentral
AUUGAACGCUGGCGGCAGGCCUAACACAUGCAAGUCGAACGGUAACAGGAAACAGCUUGCUGUUUCGCUGACGAGUGGCGGACGGGUGAGUAAUGUCUGGGAAACUGUCUGAUGGAGGGGGAUAACUACUGGAAACGGUAGCUAAUACCGCAUAACGUCGCAAGACCAAAGAGGGGGACCCUCGGGCCUCUUGCCAUCGGAUGUGCCCAGAUGGGAUUAGCUUGUUGGUGGGGUAACGGCUCACCAAGGCGACGAUCCCUAGCUGGUCUGAGAGGAUGACCAGCCACACUGGAACUGAGACACGGUCCAGACUCCUACGGGAGGCAGCAGUGGGGAAUAUUGCACAAUGGGCGCAAGCCUGAUGCAGCCAUGCCGCGUGUAUGAAGAAGGCCUUCGGGUUGUAAAGUACUUUCAGCGGGGAGGAAGGGAGUAAAGUUAAUACCUUUGCUCAUUGACGUUACCCGCAGAAGAAGCACCGGCUAACUCCGUG